RNAcentral lists this ribosomal RNA (253 nucleotides) under uncultured bacterium. RNAcentral describes it as "partial 16S ribosomal RNA". It matches the Rfam family "Bacterial small subunit ribosomal RNA", at positions 524 to 776 of the family's 1533-position model. The record is from RNAcentral.
UACGUAGGUGGCAAGCGUUGUUCGGAAUUAUUGGGCGUAAAGGGCGCGUAGGCGGCUUGUUAAGUCGGUUGUGAAAGCCCGGGGCUCAACCCCGGAAAGUCGACCGAUACUGGCAGGCUAGAGUACGGAAGAGGUAGCUGGAAUUCCCGGUGUAGCGGUGAAAUGCGUAGAUAUUGGGAAGAACACCAGUGGCGAAGGCGGCUAACUGGUCCGGUACUGACGCUGAGGUGCGAAAGCGUGGGGAGCAAACAGG